CCUGUACCACCCCCUGUCCGAGUAGACUGUGCCUCUUCAACAGGUGUGACCGCUACUCGCCCAACCACUGCACAGUCUGUCCGCAAGGUCUUAUGGCAGCUUCUGUAGCAUGACCUGCCCCAACUGCAAGUCGGGCUGUAACCAGAACACGGGUGUGUGUGAUGACGGUUGAAAGGAUGGAUGGUACGGUCAGACGUGCAACCAGCAAUGCAGGAGUGAAUGUGCCUCGUGUGAACGGAACUCCGGAGAAUGUGUGACUUGUAUUGCCGGACGUUUGGGCCUAAACUGUCAACAGAGCUUCAGUGCGUUCUGUCAAAUGACCGUCGAGCAGGGUGUCAACAUGCUAUACUGCGACAAGACCACUGGCGCAUGCAGGCAGGGGGUGUGUCAAGUUGGGUACUGGAGGGCAGAUUGCUCUCAG
Long non-coding RNA from Dreissena polymorpha, 421 nucleotides. RefSeq lists it as uncharacterized. The record is from RefSeq and is a predicted model, not a curated record. The transcript is spliced from 3 exons. Lineage: Eukaryota; Metazoa; Mollusca; Bivalvia; Myida; Dreissenidae.